CAUGAAACUAUAUGUGUUCAGUUUUUUGUGGUUGUUGUUGAUAUUUUAUUACUGCGCAGGAUCUUAUUUACAAUUCUGUAUUUUACGUGUAACUCUUCUUUAACAAAAUGGAAAUUGGAGCGCUUGCAAUUGUUGUGUUUUUAUUUUUAGUUAGAGACUGUCAUUCUAAGUCUAUUCAGCAGCGAAAUGCUUCGGUUGAUGAAUCCCAGGAUGAACGGAUUUAUGCACUGGAAAGUACUAUCAAGAGGUUGGAAGCCAUAGUUGAAAAUGUGACAAAAUCAAAAGGUAAUUUACAUAGCCUUACGUGUAGUUUAUUUUAUUUAUAAAGAAUGAAAUAAAAAUAUCUUGAGAGAAAUCUUGCUAAACACAAUGAUCUGAACAUUUCUCAAAUUAAAGCUAUUUUUCCCUUUAAUUUUUGUACAAGGACUGUCAUUUCAUGUCUUAACUUUACCUUUUUGCCUAGUGCUGAAGUAUUCAACAUACCUUGAACUGAAUAUCGAAGGGCACUGGUUUCCAAAAAUGUUGUUAUACUAGAAUAACUACUUCUGACCAUAACAACAGGACAAAUAUGCCUUCCUUUUUUCAAAUUCCCCCCUUUUUUAAAAGGAGCUUUCCUGCAACAGUGAUUCUACAGUUACUACAAGUCCUUAAGCUUUUAAUUAAUAUAAAAUAGUCCAAAUAUUUUACUUAUUGAAAUGUUACAGCUGUUGUUGAAAAUAUGUACGUACUACCUGUAAUUUCCUGCUAGGUCAGAAUUACUUGUUCAAUACCAUAAGACUUCAUUUCAAAACAAUUGCUGUCCUUCCCUUUAUUCAACGUCCAUAAGCAUGAGCAAUCAAACCUUUGCGAGAGAAAAUUCAUUCAAGUGUUAACUCAAAUAAUCUACUUCGUCUUUGUACUGACAAUUAAGGUUCGACAACAUUUCAAUAUAACAAUUACCUCAAAACGUGUACUAAAGUAUAAAGUUCACACACUUAAACUGUAUUAAUUGACUUACAAUGAGUAUAGUAAAAAGUAUGUCAUUUCUAAAACUUUGUACAAUUUAGACGUAUCGAGGUAAAGAGGAAACACACAUAUUGUAUUAUGUAUAGCUGCCAUUUAUCAACAGCAUUGAUGAAAAAUUGUGUUUUUAUGUGAUAAAAUUAUAGCAAUUCAUAAACUUUGGGUUCAAUUAUUUUCGAAGGUAUUAGUUUUCGUGGAUUAAGGAAAACUUGCAUGUUCGUGGAUAUUUAAUUUCGUGGUCUUGCCAAAUUUUGCGUACAGGCCUAUAUAAAAUAUGACAUUCGUUGUCACUUGUAUCCACGAAAUCCAAAAACGUUAGUAUAUAUAACGAAUAAUAAUUAAUCCAUAGUAUUGUACCUCUAUGAUCUAUUUUUUAAAAUGCUACCCGUAUUUGGUGGUUAAAAACUUGACACCAUAUGAAUGUUUAUUAAGGUAGCUAUACACAGUUAGGAAAAAAGCUUAGAAUUACCACUCAUAAUUUUAAAACUCCCUCUUCUUCGCCUGUCUAAUAAAGAAGGCUUUAUAUGUGUGUUAUGCAUGUAUAUACUUAUAGAAAGAGAAUCUUCCAUAGAUUUGAUUUCUAAUGGUCAUCAGGGUGAAAUAUAAUCCCUUUGGUGUAACAUGGCACAAUUACAUUUCUUAUACAAUUUGCAAAAAAGGGGGGUGAAAUGGUCACAAAGUCUCCAAAAUUUGGUCUAAAGGAUAAUUUCAAUCAAUUACAGUGAUACCUUUCCUGAAUCCAUAGCUCUAUAUCUAUCAAGUGGUAAAAAAAAAUCAUAUGCAUUUCUGCUCGUUUUUCCAUAAAAUUGAAUUGAAAAGAUCGAGCGCAAAAAUCUUUGUUGAUAAACACUACAAUUUAUGGAUCAUGGACGGUACGGAUAGGAAAUACGGACUGUCAAUCAUAUAAAAUGGCUACAAAAUGUUAAAAACAAUCUAAAUGUUCAUAUGACCCACUAAGAAGGCUUUAUUAUUUCUUCAAUUAUCUAAACUCAAUUUAUUGUACAAAAACUUUCAUAUUUAAAAAAAUCACAGGGGCCAUAAUGCGAAACUAAACUUCUAACUGUGUAUUGCUACCUAAAGGACAAAAAUAUUUUAAGUACUGGGACAGAAUCUUUAUCCUGAAAGGCACAUGGUAAGAUUAAUAUUACCUGACCUUACCAUUGACGUAAAUACGUAGAAUUGCGCGUUUGACGUACAUAAGGUAGACGUCACUUAGGUAGAAAUAUAAAAUUAUUUUGUCGUUCAAAGUAUGAACAGACAAUAGUCAAUUGUUCUUUAAUGCAUUUCCUCUGCAGAAUGUUAUUAAAAGUUUUCCCUGUUCUUCUUGCCGCUUGUCUAUUUCCCUAUUGUAAAUGUUUUCAAAAAAGAAAGAACCACGUCAUUACAUCAAAGAAAAUCAAAAUGGCAUAUAGACAAAACAUUAGCAACUAUAAAAGACAAGAAUGCAAACAUUAUCACAGAACAAAAAUACAUGGCGACAGGUAUACAAAAAAUCACACAGACAAAACAGAUUAUGAAAAGUAAAAUAUAAUACAAAAAAUAUAGAAAAAUAACACAAUUACGGGAUUUUACAAAGCCACGUCAAAUAGAUAUCACCAAAAACAGAUCAAACAGUAAAAGUAAUAUUAAUAAACAACAAAUAAAAGAAUAAAAUAAAAUAACACGUUAUCAAGAUGAUAAACAACAUCAGUACGCAGAAUCUAUUCUUCAAGGACAUCGUGUAUUUUUAAUUUUCUUUUCUCACAAAUCUGGGCAAGGGUCCACAUCAAAACUCAAUGUGGGAUUAAAAGUUUAAUUGACGUAUAUUUUCCUUGACUCAACAUAUAUGAUGAAUGUUGCAUAAGAUGAAAGAAUAAUAAAAGUUAUGUGGUGAGUUUACAGAUCAAACUGAUAUCUAUUUUCUUUUAAAGAUAGGAACGAGAAGCCUGUGAUGUUUUAUGCAAAGAUUUCUGGAAGAUCGUUUACAUUACAGAUGCAAUCCACAGUUGUUUUUGAAACCGUGAUCCUCAACAUCGGUCACCAUUAUGAUCAAUAUGAUGGGAUAUUUGUUGCCCCAAGGAAAGGCGUCUACAUGUUUUCUUGGACCGUGUCUAUUGGUAGUGGGAAUUAUGUUGUAGCUGAACUUGUAGUUGAAGAAAAAAUUAUUGCAGGUUCAGGAAAUACCGAUAACAAUGGAGGACAUCAUUCUGCGUCCAUGACGGCAUUAUGUAGAAUGGAUAAAGAUGACCAUGCAUUUAUCAGAACUUCUAGUUAUUCCAGUGCAAACGUAUUCUAUAGUAAUCCAAACUAUCCACAAACGUCGUUUCUAGGAAUGCUUGUUUUCGAAGAAUAGUGAUCUUUUGCAAUGUACAUGUAUAUGAUGUUUUGCUUAAAUGGAGAAUAAUUAUGGUAAAUGCUUCUGUGUAUAUACGCAGCGUUAACAUUAUAAGUACUAGUAUACACAAUACACAGUACAUCGAUGCUGGCAUGAUAAAAUUGAUAUUGCUAAAUUGAAAUUUGCUGUUAUAAAAUGCUAGAAAUCAUUUUCAAUACAGAUAUGUAUCUUCCUUUUACGUAAAAUUAAAUCUUCUGCUGUGUUUGACUUUA
Molecule: long non-coding RNA, 3588 nt
Filed under: Mytilus galloprovincialis (Mediterranean mussel)
Lineage: Eukaryota; Metazoa; Mollusca; Bivalvia; Mytilida; Mytilidae
Source: RNAcentral